This 512-nucleotide ribosomal RNA is filed under the name uncultured bacterium. RNAcentral describes it as "bacterial SSU rRNA". It matches the Rfam family "Bacterial small subunit ribosomal RNA", at positions 8 to 526 of the family's 1533-position model. The record is from RNAcentral.
AGAGUUUGAUCAUGGCUCAGGAUGAACGCUGGCGGCGUGCUUAACACAUGCAAGUCGAACGAUGAUGCCAGCUUGCUGGUGGAUUAGUGGCGAACGGGUGAGUAACACGUGGGUAACCUACCUAUAAGACUGGGAUAACUUCGGGAAACCGGAGCUAAUACCGGAUAACAUUUGGAACCGCAUGGUUCUAAAGUGAAAGAUGGUUUUGCUAUCACUUAUAGAUGGACCCGCGCCGUAUUAGCUAGUUGGUAAGGUAACGGCUUACCAAGGCAACGAUACGUAGCCGACCUGAGAGGGUGAUCGGCCACACUGGGACUGAGACACGGCCCAGACUCCUACGGGAGGCAGCAGUGGGGAAUAUUGCACAAUGGGCGCAAGCCUGAUGCAGCGACGCCGCGUGAGGGAUGACGGCCUUCGGGUUGUAAACCUCUUUCAGUAGGGAAGAAGCCGCAAGGUGACGGUACCUGCAGAAGAAGCGCCGGCUAACUACGUGCCAGCCGCCGCGGUAAUUC